Molecule: ribosomal RNA, 465 nt
Filed under: uncultured bacterium
Lineage: Bacteria
Description: partial 16S ribosomal RNA
Rfam family: Bacterial small subunit ribosomal RNA
Source: RNAcentral
GACGAACGCUGGCGGCGUGCUUAACACAUGCAAGUCGAGCGGAAAGGCCCUGCUUGCAGGUUACUCGAGUGGCGAACGGGUGAGUAACACGUGGGUGAUUGGCCCUGCACUUCGGAUUAAGCCUGGGAAACUGCGUUUAUUACCCGUUAGUCCCCAUGUUGAGUGUGAUGGUUGUUAGGACUUUUCGCUGUCGGAUGAGCUCGCGGCGUAUCAGCUUGUUGGUGGGGUAAUGGCCUACCAAGGCGGCGACCGGUAGCUGGACUGAGAGGGUGGUCGGCCACACAGGGGCCGAGGGGAGGCCGAGAUUGCGAAGAGUGGAAGAAGGGGGGAAGAUUGAACAAUGCGCGCCAGGCUGAUGAAGCGAGGCCGCGUGGGGGAUAACGGCCUUCGGGUGGUAAACUGGUUGCGAGAGGGAAGAAGCUUGUUGUGACGGUACCAAGAGAAGAAGCACCGGCUAACUACGUG